RNAcentral lists this ribosomal RNA (248 nucleotides) under uncultured bacterium. RNAcentral describes it as "partial 16S ribosomal RNA". It matches the Rfam family "Bacterial small subunit ribosomal RNA", at positions 523 to 769 of the family's 1533-position model. The record is from RNAcentral.
AGACGAGGGAUCCUAGCGUUGCUCGGGAAUCAUUGGGCGUAAAGCGGGUGUAGGUGGCUUUAUAAGUCAGGUGUGAAAGCCCAGGGCUCAACCCUGGAAGUGCAUUUGAUACUGUUUAGCUUGAGUGUGGGAGAGGUUACUGGAAUACCUGGUGUAGUGGUGAAAUACGUAGAUAUCAGGUGGAACACCGGAGGCGAAGGCGGGUAACUGGCCCAACACUGACACUCAGACCCGAAAGCGUGGGGAUC